AGAAUCAACGCUGGCGGCGUGCCUAACACAUGCAAGUCGAACGAGAAAGGGACUUCGGUCCUGAGUAUAGUGGCGCACGGGUGAGUAACACGUGAAUAAUCUACCUCCGAGUGGGGAAUAACCUGGAGAAAUCUAGGCUAAUACCGCAUAACACUUACGAGUCAAAGCAGCAAUGCGCUUGGAGAGGAGUUCGCGGCAGAUUAGUUAGUUGGCGGGGUAAUGGCCCACCAAGACGAUGAUCUGUAUCCGGCCUGAGAGGGCGCACGGACACACUGGAACUGAAACACGGUCCAGACUCCUACGGAGGCAGCAGUGGGGAAUUUUGCGCAAUGGGGGAAACCCUGACGCAGCAACGCCGCGUGGAGGAUGAAGUAUCUUGGUACGUAAACUCCUUUCGAUGGGGAAGAUAAUGACGGUACCUAUAGAAGAAGCCCCGGCUAACUUCGCGCCAGCAGCCGC
RNAcentral lists this ribosomal RNA (459 nucleotides) under uncultured bacterium. RNAcentral's name for it is "SSU rRNA". It matches the Rfam family "Bacterial small subunit ribosomal RNA", at positions 26 to 518 of the family's 1533-position model. The record is from RNAcentral.